GGGCUCCCGUCAGCAGCGCACACACUAAAUUGGAAACGAUGCCGAGAAGAUUGGCAUGGCCCCGGAGCAAGGGUGAUAUGCAAAUUCGUGAAGCAUGCCAUAGUUUU
Molecule: small nuclear RNA, 107 nt
Organism: Echinops telfairi (small Madagascar hedgehog)
Lineage: Eukaryota; Metazoa; Chordata; Mammalia; Afrosoricida; Tenrecidae
Source: RefSeq, a predicted model, not a curated record